Molecule: long non-coding RNA, 436 nt
Filed under: Leguminivora glycinivorella
Lineage: Eukaryota; Metazoa; Arthropoda; Insecta; Lepidoptera; Tortricidae
Description: uncharacterized LOC125241838, transcript variant X4
Source: RNAcentral
CUUGUACCAACUGCUUAACUCAAGAUGGUUGUGGCGCAGUGCUCUGCUACUUCGUGCCACAGGCCAUUCUCCAACUGCAGAUCUACGUGUCAGCGCGACAGUGCACUCACUCACCUUGUUUGGCCCGGUGGAAUUUGGUAUGUCACUUGAGGCGAGGAGGACUUGAGAAGGUGCGUCUGCGAACGGCCUUAGUGACGCCUCUUCAGCGCGACGGGUGGUCUCCUCAAAUAUGAGAAGGAGCUCGGGUCCUGCGGGCUCUUAACCGUCGUAGUAUUCACGCAGUGUUUUAAAAUAGUGUUUGUGUGUAUUAUGAUAACAUUUAUGUUCAAUUCAAAUGUCUAACUCUACAUAAGUAUUCAUAUCAUUUUUCAUUAGUAUGGUGCUGUUUUUGCGGUCUGAAGAAAAAACUUUAAAUAAAAUAAUUAUGUUGUCUGUA